RNAcentral lists this ribosomal RNA (877 nucleotides) under Serpula himantioides. RNAcentral's name for it is "eukaryotic LSU rRNA". It matches the Rfam family "Eukaryotic large subunit ribosomal RNA", at positions 67 to 915 of the family's 3401-position model. The record is from RNAcentral. Lineage: Eukaryota; Fungi; Basidiomycota; Agaricomycetes; Boletales; Serpulaceae.
AACAAGGAUUCCCCUAGUAACUGCGAGUGAAGCGGGAAGAGCUCAAAUUUUGAAUCUGGCGGUCCUCGUGGUCGUCCGAGUUGUAAUCUAGAGAAGCGUUUUCCGCGCUGGACCGUGUACAAGUCUCCUGGAACGGAGCGUCAUAGAGGGUGAGAAUCCCGUCUCUGACACGGACUACCAGGGCUUUUGUGAUGCGCUCUCGACGAGUCGAGUUGUUUGGGAAUGCAGCUCAAAUUGGGUGGUAAAUUCCAUCUAAAGCUAAAUACAGGCGAGAGACCGAUAGCGAACAAGUACCGUGAGGGAAAGAUGAAAAGAACUUUGGAAAGAGAGUUAAACAGUACGUGAAAUUGCUGAAAGGGAAACGCUUGAAGUCAGUCGCGUUGGCCGGGGAUCAGCCUUGCAAUCUUGUUGGGUGCAUUUCCUGGUUGACGGGUCAGCAUCGAUUUUGACCGUCGGAGAAGGGUCGAGGGAAUGUGGCAUCCUUCGGGGUGUGUUAUAGCCUUUGAUCGUAUGCGACGGUUGGGAUCGAGGAACUCAGCAUGACCCCUCGUGGGUUUGGGGCUUCGGCUCACAUCCAUGCUUAGGAUGCUGGCAUAAUGGCUUUAAGCGAACCGUCUUGAAACACGGACCAAGGAGUCUAACAUGCCCGCGAGUGUUUGGGUGUUUAAAACCCGAGCGCGUAAUGAAAGUGAAAGUUGAGACCUCUGUCGUGGAGGGCAUCGACGCCCGGACCAGAACUUUUGUGACGGCCCUGCGGUAGAGCGYGUAUGUUGGGACCCGAAAGAUGGUGAACUAUGCCUGAAUAGGGUGAAGCCAGAGGAAACUCUGGUGGAGGCUCGUAGCGAUUCUGACGUGCAAAUCGAUCGUCGAAUUUGGG